AGCAGUAGCCGCGGGAAAACGAGGGGUGCAAGCGUUAUUCGGAUUGAUUGGGUGUAAAGGGUGUGCAGACGGCUUAUUAAGUCACUUGUUAAAUUCUUCGGCCUAACUGAAGGUCUGCAAGUGAUACUGAUGAGCUAGAGGGUGGAAGAGAGAAGUGGAAUUCUCGGAGUAGCGGUAAAAUGCGUAGAUCUCGAGAGGAACACCAAUGGCGAAAGCAGCUUCUUGGUCCAUUCCUGACGUUCAUACACGAAAGCGUGGGGAGCAAACAGGAUUAGAUACCCCCGUAGUCCCUGUCUCUUAUAC
Molecule: ribosomal RNA, 303 nt
Filed under: uncultured bacterium
Lineage: Bacteria
Description: partial 16S ribosomal RNA
Rfam family: Bacterial small subunit ribosomal RNA
Source: RNAcentral